RNAcentral lists this unclassified non-coding RNA (280 nucleotides) under Hevea brasiliensis (rubber tree). The record is from RNAcentral. Lineage: Eukaryota; Viridiplantae; Streptophyta; Magnoliopsida; Malpighiales; Euphorbiaceae.
GGUGCAGAUUGGGUUGGAUCUCUUGGUGAUAGAAGAUCAACAUCAGGUUACUAUACAUUUUUAGGUGGUAAUUUAGUCACCUAAAGAAGCAAGAAGUAAAAUGUGAUGGCUAGAUCCAAUGCAGAGGUUGAAUUCAGAGCAAUGGCUCAAGAUAUCUAUGAUUUAUUAUGGUUACGAAAGUUGAUGGCGGAAUUGAAACUGCUUGAAGCUAGUGGUUUUCCUUGUUCUGCAAUAACGAAGUUGCCAUCAAUAUAGUUCAUAAUCCAGCUCAGUAUGAUCG